This is a long non-coding RNA of Myotis lucifugus (little brown bat), 987 nucleotides long. RefSeq lists it as uncharacterized. The record is from RefSeq and is a predicted model, not a curated record. The transcript is spliced from 3 exons. NCBI's taxonomy places the organism in Eukaryota, Metazoa, Chordata, Mammalia, Chiroptera, Vespertilionidae.
AUGUAACCUUGAGCCCACAGCACAGCUCUGCUGCUUGCUCUUCGUUUGCAGCUGUAUCCUUAGACAAGGCCGAUUCUCAGGGACUCCAAGCAAAGGAUUAAAAGAUUCUGAUGGCUGAAACGUCUUUGUUUCUGUGUGUUUGCGUGUGAAUGAGACUAACAUUAACACAUGGUCGUUGGUGCUUAAUAGUCACUGGAAGAGUGGAUGAAUAAAGAAGCAAACUCCCCUGCUAGAGAGCUGGCAUUUUCCCAGAAGGAGGCAAAGAAACUGAGUCUCUAGACUCUGUGUUUUUGAUACCAAUGCCGUAGAGAGGGAGAGAAUGGUAAGCUGAGGACACUGAGGUUCACAGGUGACACACAGUGGCUGGACCAGAUCUGCUGCCUUUCCCUCCAUUGCCCAUUCACUUCUGUGAAUGAUGCUGUGGACAUAAAGACUCUUUGCACGGAAGUGACAAGAAAUUCAAGUGAUGAAGCUAUGGUGACACACAAGGAAUGUCCCUGGUUGCUAUGUUUAUGCCCAGCAUCCUGAAGAUUCAGACAACUGUGAGUUGGAAGAGGAAGAGUAUGAGGUAGGUUGGCUCUUUGAAGAAGUUCAUAGUUCGAGUUCUAAGGAAAGGUCUUAUCCGCGAGGCAUGCAGGACAACUAGGUUGUCAGAGAGCUCUCUCUAUCCCAACUUGUCUGGUCCCGCAGCAAUAAGAACAACGACAAUAAUAAGGAUGCGGAAUAGGAGAACACCCCUCGGAUUAGCGUGUUGAUGAGAGAGAAGGACUGUGAACUCAUUUAUAGCAAGGUCAGAACAGAACAUAUCGUGGCCAAGCAGGAGGAGUUGGAGUCCAUGAGAGCGCCUCAGGAAUCCCUGGAAUGGAAUGAAAUGCAUUGCUGAGUUCCAGCUACAAAGCAGAGCUAGAUGUUGCAUCAUCACCAUGGGCUAGAACAUGUGAUUGCUUGAUUUGAACGAAUAAAGCAUACCAACAACGAAGUUAAGCC